GGAUGUUGUGUAAGGGCAUUUUGAAACCCAAUUAAAUAAUUCCUAACAUGUUUUAAUUCUUUUGGCAGGUGUGAAAAUAUGUUCGAGAACAUGGUCUCGGGUCACUUACAAGUGAUUAUGGGUGUGGUUUGCGUGCAGUGAAAAGGUGGACAACUCUCCAGCCAGCCAAAGUGAAGCGUCAAAAUGACCGGAAAUCCUCCACCAAGGCCUAAAGUGCCAAAGGAACACUUUUAAUUCAUCAGCAGAGGGACGCUGAAGGCUGUUCUGGAUCAUUGGACAGACAGAAGCCUGAAAGACAGAGAAGGCUCUGUCCUCCACCUAGCCUUCAGAACAAACAUCUGCUCUGGCCUGAUUGUGUCUCGUCAACGGGGACCAACAUCAUCCGACGUGUUUUAAAGUGGAUCCAAGACAGCGCUGUCCCCAGCAGACAUUGCAUUUACUCAUUUAUCUGCUUGUUGUUCUCAGACAGAGCAGAGGAAAUGACAAAGCACCAACUCAACCGCUUUAAUAAUGGAAGAUUGAAUUUCCUUUUUUUUUUCAGAUCCUAAGUUAAUGCUAAAGUUUCUCAAAUUUGGCCCUGGAGUACUGGUGCCUUUGCAGCCUCUAAAAACACGUUUUAAUCCAUGAUGUAGUGCCAUUAAAUGAAACUUUUAUGAGAGUUCUG
RNAcentral lists this long non-coding RNA (664 nucleotides) under Oryzias sinensis (Chinese medaka). RNAcentral's name for it is "lncRNA (ENSOSIG00000003156.1)". The record is from RNAcentral. Lineage: Eukaryota; Metazoa; Chordata; Actinopteri; Beloniformes; Adrianichthyidae.